Molecule: transfer RNA, 45 nt
Filed under: Pinus koraiensis (Korean pine)
Lineage: Eukaryota; Viridiplantae; Streptophyta; Pinopsida; Pinales; Pinaceae
Description: tRNA-His
Source: RNAcentral
GGUAGAAGGAUGGCUAUACUGGAAACUACGGGCUGUAAGCCUACC